Molecule: microRNA precursor, 96 nt
Filed under: Camelus ferus (Wild Bactrian camel)
Lineage: Eukaryota; Metazoa; Chordata; Mammalia; Artiodactyla; Camelidae
Description: mir-544 microRNA precursor family
Rfam family: mir-544 microRNA precursor family
Source: Rfam by way of RNAcentral
AACACCGGGUGAUUUUGUUAAAAUGCAGAUUCUGAUUUGGGAGAUCUGGGAUGGGGCCUGAUUCUGCAUUUCUAACAAGCUCCCAGGUGGUGCUCA